This is a long non-coding RNA of Carassius carassius (crucian carp), 720 nucleotides long. RefSeq lists it as uncharacterized. The transcript has 3 exons. The record is from RefSeq and is a predicted model, not a curated record. NCBI's taxonomy places the organism in Eukaryota, Metazoa, Chordata, Actinopteri, Cypriniformes, Cyprinidae.
CUGAUUAAAUUAUUAUUUUCUCUUUAUAGAUGAUGCCAAUGUAUUUGUCGCUAGGAAUAAUAACGUUACCUACCUGACGGAAAGGGUUGUCAGGUUUUUUUUAUUUAUUUACAACAAAUCCCUGCCAAUUGCUACCUACUGUAAAACUAACCACCUUUCGAGGGGUCCCCCGGUAAAAAUCGGGUUCCGAGGGCCAAAGUUAUUGGAGUUGCUUCAACUCCCGGACAUGAAAAACAACCCGCAGUCAUAAAGUAGCCCAGUACUGUUACACAAGACAAAAUUUAGCCCCUGGUUGCACAUAAUACAUAGGUCACAAAUUAAUUAACCUUUAACAUUUGAAUGUUUUUUUCUUCUUCUUCAUCUUCUUCUUCACAGAAUGUUUAGGGCUCAGAUAGGUACAUGGAUCAACAAGAAGUCCACCAUUAUAAAGUCUUUAUUUUGCAAAGGAGUGUUGGAUUCUGGUGUUCAGAAAGAUGCCACCCGUCAGAAGAUACUGCGCUUAUCUUGUGAUGAAACGGAGCUUACUAUCUGAUCCUGGGGAAGGAUGAUGCAACAUCAGAGCUCAAUAAGGAAGCACAACAUUUCAGGUGUGUUGAACAAUGACAUGAUCGAGAAGAUACCAGAAGAAAAGAAAAGCAAGGCAAACACAAGUCGCUCUGCCUGCUGUCUUCUUAAUGAAUUUAUAAAGCAACAUUAAACGCUCUGACAUUUAGAAGACAA